This 253-nucleotide ribosomal RNA is filed under the name uncultured bacterium. RNAcentral describes it as "partial 16S ribosomal RNA". It matches the Rfam family "Bacterial small subunit ribosomal RNA", at positions 524 to 776 of the family's 1533-position model. The record is from RNAcentral.
UACGUAGGGUGCGAGCGUUGUCCGGAAUUAUUGGGCGUAAAGGGCUCGUAGGCGGUUUGUCGCGUCGGGAGUGAAAACACUGGGCUUAACUCAGUGCUUGCUUCCGAUACGGGCAGACUAGAGGUAUUCAGGGGAGAACGGAAUUCCUGGUGUAGCGGUGAAAUGCGCAGAUAUCAGGAGGAACACCGGUGGCGAAGGCGGUUCUCUGGGCCUGUACUGACGCUGAGGAACGAAAGCGUGGGGAGCGAACAGG